This 253-nucleotide ribosomal RNA is filed under the name uncultured bacterium. RNAcentral's name for it is "partial 16S ribosomal RNA". It matches the Rfam family "Bacterial small subunit ribosomal RNA", at positions 524 to 776 of the family's 1533-position model. The record is from RNAcentral.
UACGUAGGGUGCGAGCGUUGUCCGGAAUUACUGGGCGUAAAGAGCGCGCAGGCGGUCGUUCAAGUCGAGUGUGAAAGCCCCCGGCUCAACUGGGGAGGGUCACUCGAUACUGAUCGACUUGAAGGCAGGAGAGGGAAGCGGAAUUCCCGGUGUAGUGGUGAAAUGCGUAGAUAUCGGGAGGAACACCAGUGGCGAAGGCGGCUUCCUGGCCUGUUCUUGACGCUGAGGCGCGAAAGCUAGGGGAGCAAACGGG